This 265-nucleotide ribosomal RNA is filed under the name uncultured prokaryote. Its description in RNAcentral is "partial 16S ribosomal RNA". It matches the Rfam family "Bacterial small subunit ribosomal RNA", at positions 524 to 789 of the family's 1533-position model. The record is from RNAcentral.
UACGGAGGAUCCGAGCGUUAUCCGGAUUUAUUGGGUUUAAAGGGUGCGUAGGCGGAAAUGUAAGUCAGUGGUGAAAUCCUGCAGCUUAACUGUAGAAUAGCCGUUGAAACUGUGUUUCUUGAGUACAUUUGAGGUAGGCGGAAUGUGGUGUGUAGCGGUGAAAUGCAUAGAUAUACCACAGAACACCGAUUGCGAAGGCAGCUUACUAAACUGUCACUGACGCUGAUGCACGAAAGCUAGGGGAGCGAACGGGAUUAGAUACCCG